RNAcentral lists this ribosomal RNA (492 nucleotides) under uncultured bacterium. RNAcentral's name for it is "partial 16S ribosomal RNA". It matches the Rfam family "Bacterial small subunit ribosomal RNA", at positions 29 to 507 of the family's 1533-position model. The record is from RNAcentral.
AGUGAACGCUGGCGGUAGGCCUAACACAUGCAAGUCGAACGGCAGCACAGUAAGAGCUUGCUCUUACGGGUGGCGAGUGGCGGACGGGUGAGGAAUACAUCGGAAUCUACUUUUUCGUGGGGGAUAACGUAGGGAAACUUACGCUAAUACCGCAUACGACCUACGGGUGAAAGCAGGGGAUCUUCGGACCUUGCGCGAUUGGAUGAGCCGAUGUCGGAUUAGCUAGUUGGCGGGGUAAAGGCCCACCAAGGCGACGAUCCGUAGCUGGUCUGAGAGGAUGAUCAGCCACACUGGAACUGAGACACGGUCCAGACUCCUACGGGAGGCAGCAGUGGGGAAUAUUGGACAAUGGGCGCAAGCCUGAUCCAGCCAUACCGCGUGGGUGAAGAAGGCCUUCGGGUUGUAAAGCCCUUUUGUUGGGAAAGAAAAGCAGCAGGUUAAUACCCCGCUGUUCUGACGGUGCCCAAAGAAUAAGCACCGGCUAACUUCGUG